UCUCAGUUCAGAUUGCAGGCUGCAACUCGCCUGCAUGAAGUUGGAAUUGCUAGUAAUCGCGAAUCAGAAUGUCGCGGUGAAUACGUCCCCGGGCCUUGUACACACCGCCCGUCACACCAUGAGAGUCGAUAACACCCGAAGCCUGUGAGCUAACCGUAAGGAGGCAGCAGUCGAAGGUGGGGUUGAUGAUUGGGGUGAAGUCGUAACAAGGUAUC
RNAcentral lists this ribosomal RNA (215 nucleotides) under uncultured bacterium. RNAcentral describes it as "partial 16S ribosomal RNA". It matches the Rfam family "Bacterial small subunit ribosomal RNA", at positions 1286 to 1500 of the family's 1533-position model. The record is from RNAcentral.